AAGAGAGGAACCCAUUAGAGUAGCCAAGGAGACUGCCUGGCUAUCAAACCAGAAUGCUUGUAUAUAUGCAUGGCACAUGAUCACAAGCCUCUAAGAAUGAUGCAGGCAAGUCAUCCUUGGCUAUCAAAUAGGCACUUACCU
This is a non-coding RNA of Capsicum annuum, 141 nucleotides long. The record is from Rfam. Lineage: Eukaryota; Viridiplantae; Streptophyta; Magnoliopsida; Solanales; Solanaceae.